GAUGAACGCUGGCGGCGUGCCUAAUACAUGCAAGUCGAGCGAACAGAUGAGGAGCUUGCUCCUCUGACGUUAGCGGCGGACGGGUGAGUAACACGUGGAUAACCUACCUAUAAGACUGGGAUAACUUCGGGAAACCGGAGCUAAUACCGGAUAAUAUAUUGAACCGCAUGGUUCAAUAGUGAAAGACGGUUUUGCUGUCACUUAUAGAUGGAUCCGCGCCGCAUUAGCUAGUUGGUAAGGUAACGGCUUAUCAAGGCAACGAUGCGUAGCCGACCUGAGAGGGUGAUCGGCCACACUGGAACUGAGACACGGUCCAGACUCCCACGGGAGGCAGCAGUAGGGAAUCUUCCGCAAUGGGCGAAAGCCUGACGGAGCAACGCCGCGUGAGUGAUGAAGGUCUUCGGAUCGUAAAACUCUGUUAUUAGGGAAGAACAAAUGUGUAAGUAACUAUGCACGUCUUGACGGUACCUAAUCAGAAAGCCACGGCUAACUACGUG
RNAcentral lists this ribosomal RNA (497 nucleotides) under uncultured bacterium. RNAcentral's name for it is "partial 16S ribosomal RNA". It matches the Rfam family "Bacterial small subunit ribosomal RNA", at positions 28 to 507 of the family's 1533-position model. The record is from RNAcentral.